Long non-coding RNA from Bos taurus (domestic cattle), 817 nucleotides. The record is from Ensembl. NCBI's taxonomy places the organism in Eukaryota, Metazoa, Chordata, Mammalia, Artiodactyla, Bovidae.
AGCCAACUCCUAAAGCAUAGAUGGAGCUCUGUGAGGGCUUCAUCGCUCCAGGGCCCCCAGCCCUUUAGGGCAGAAUAUCCAGGGUCUGUCCUCAGAGGGCAGGGUUUCUUUGUGAGUCGCCACCCUCAGCCACUUUCCCGGGCUAUUCUGAGCUCCACCAGCUUCUGCUCUGUUUCUUCCAGCCACCCCUCCUCGUGCAAGGACAUAAAUGGAAUGUUUGGGGCAGGCUAGCUCAGGCCACUAAGAGGACCCAAGAGAAUACAAUGUGAUUUGGUAUUCUUGUUGAAUUCUGCCUUUGAAAAUCAGUUUCAUUUAUCACAAAUUCUCAGUGGUUCUCUCACCCUCAGCAGUAACCUCCCUUUCUGAGAUUUCAAGUUUUCACUAAUGUGCCUAAGUGAUGAAGAACCAAUAUGUGGAAUGUGCAAGCUCUUUGGGGACCACAAGACUCACCCAGUAGCCAAGAUUUCUGAUGCCUAUGCAGAGAGGAAAGUGAACUUUGCUAAGGAUAUUCAGCUGGUGCUGCAGAAAUCUGAGAGCGCGGCACAGGCAGUACAGGAGACAUGGGUUCAAUCCCUGGUCCAGGAGGAUCCCACAUGCCAUGGAGCAACUACGCCCGUGUGCCACAGCUAUUGAACCUGUGUUCUAGAGUCUGGAAACCGCAACCACUGAGCCCUCAAGCCGAAACUACUGAAGCCCACAAGCCCUAGAGCCUGUACUCUGCAACAAGAGAAGCCACUGCAGUAAGAACCCCGUGCACUGCAACCACAGUAGCCACCACUCACUGCAACUAGAGAGAAGUCUGCACAGCCAAUAAAUA